GUACACUCCUGCGGGAGGCAGCAGUGGGGAAUAUUGCACAAUGGGCGCAAGCCUGAUGCAGCGACGCCGCGUGGGGGAUGAAGGCCUUCGGGUUGUAAACUCCUUUCGCUAGGGACGAAGCUUUUUUGUGACGGUACCUAGAUAAGAAGCACCGGCUAACUACGUGCCAGCAGCCGCGGUAAUACGUAGGGUGCGAGCGUUGUCCGGAAUUACUGGGCGUAAAGGGCUCGUAGGUGGUUUGUCGCGUCGUCUGUGAAAUUCUGGGGCUUAACUCCGGGCGUGCAGGCGAUACGGGCAUAACUUGAGUGCUGUAGGGGUAACUGGAAUUCCUGGUGUAGCGGUGAAAUGCGCAGAUAUCAGGAGGAACACCGAUGGCGAAGGCAGGUUACUGGGCAGUUACUGACGCUGAGGAGCGAAAGCAUGGGUAGCGAACAGGAUUAGAUACCCUAGUAGUCC
This 456-nucleotide ribosomal RNA is filed under the name uncultured organism. Its description in RNAcentral is "partial 16S ribosomal RNA". It matches the Rfam family "Bacterial small subunit ribosomal RNA", at positions 331 to 796 of the family's 1533-position model. The record is from RNAcentral.